This is a long non-coding RNA of Herpailurus yagouaroundi (jaguarundi), 380 nucleotides long. RefSeq lists it as uncharacterized. The record is from RefSeq and is a predicted model, not a curated record. Lineage: Eukaryota; Metazoa; Chordata; Mammalia; Carnivora; Felidae. The transcript is spliced from 2 exons.
AAGGAUGCACACCAAACCAUCAAGUGUCUUUGGCAAGGGGCGUGGAUUUGGGAAAGAGAGAGAGCCUUAGUAAAGUGACAGCGUUCUCUUUACUCAAGCAUCUGAUAAAAUCUGGAAAAUAUCAGGGAGGAUCCGAGGGUUCCAUCACCUUCUUCUCCUUAGUGGCAGAAAAAAAAAAGAAAAAGAAAAAAAAGAAAAUCACUGCAUUUAACAAAACUGUCAGGAGCUGAUUAUAUAGUUUGUAGCCCAUCCUUUCCGACUCCUUGCAUUUGACCGUUUUUCUGCACAUUGUCACGGAGCCCAAAGAAACAAACAAAGAGAUGUUGUAAGCCGAAGUUGCUGCUCCUUAAAACCAAUACAAAAUGAUAAUAAUAAUAAUA